UCGAGCUUCUCAACUAAAACUGUCAAAUAGGUCGGCUAAUCAUCGGUCAUCCGUGUCUAAACUAAAAUCCUACUAUAUAAAAGAGACUAUUUUAAGAGCUUCUAAGAAGUGCCACAUGGGCAGAAAUAUUCUUCACCAAUCAAUUUGCCAGGUCAUCGGAAAUCAUCCGAGUAACCAAAUCACGUCACGUCAGCUUCGCUAAAAAAUUCCCUUCUACGAGUUUGCUCAUAAAAUUAUUGGCCCGAUCCUAAUAAACUAUCGACGUUAUUGCUUGGGCUGAUUGGGCCCAUUAUCUUUCUCCUACCCCUUCCAACAAUAUGUCGUCGUCGCGUAACUGUAAACCUAAAUUCCAGGACUCUGUAAAUCGCCUUCGUAACGGAGCAUCAAUUAAUGGACUUAAUGAUCAUUAAACCAUUCUUCCCACUAAUUUUCUUUCAGUUCCCCUUCCUCUUUAUCCACGGGUAUUUUGAUAACCAACUCCUAUAAAUAGGAACGUCGUCUUCUUGCAACCCAUCCCUCUCUCCACCUCAUUCCUUAAUCUCGCUGUUAAAUUCAUGCUCAACAAUGGCUAUCUCCUACCUCCUCUUCUCCGACUUGAAAUCUAGCGUUGUGCUAAGAUCGUUGAUGCACAUGUUCUUGGCUUUUGGGAGGCUUAGAUCUUGGGAGUGGACAUGCUGCUCUUAGAUGAAAAGGUAACCAUAGUUAAAAUCCUUCGUCUCUGAUUUCUGUUUUGACUACCUGAAAAUCAGCAGCCGUACAUUCAUCUUGAUUUCACUUUCUCAAACAGUCCACGACUCAUCCAAGGUUCCAUUAACCACAUUGCCUAAGCAACCUCACAAGGAGAAACCAUAACGUCAGACUAAUAUUGUGUACAUGGAGAUAUUCAACCAGGAGAUGCAGCAACUCUUUCUACUAUGGAGAGCUAGAACUAUGGCAGCGAAUAGUAGCUCAAACCACUCGCAUUUUUGUGAGAAUUGCAAGUAUGUCUUCCUGAAUGUUUAGUAGAAUGGUGUACUAUACAUUAAAUACGAGAAAACCAUAUAUCUUAUUUAGUUAACUAAGGUUAAAUGGAGGUAUAAGGUAAGGAUAUCAUUUUCGAAACAGUAGAGCUAAUACAAAUAAUCCAGUGAAAACAUGCUGUCAGAAUGUUUAUUCUCAUGUAUAAUAUAACUUAAUCCCUCAUUUUGGCAUAUUUGCUACCAACAUACUUUUGAUUUGAAUAGGCAAGAAGCAUUUCCAGAAUCCUGUGAUACAACAUAGAAAGUCCAAGAAGUCCUUAGAGGUUAUGAUCUUAUAUAUAAAGGCUUUUUGCAUCAGUGAUGCUCUCCAAAGUGAACCUACAUAAAAUUAACCAAAUGACUGUUCCUACGAGGAUAUUUCAGUCAGUAGCUUUGAUUGUGCAGAGCAGUCUUUAUUUCAUAUAACACCAAUGUUGUUUAGCGUGUACAAAAUAUUUCUCUUCACAAGGCAAUGUGUAGAUAUUAACAAUUAAAGAAUUUUCUCUCUUUGUGAUGGAACA
This is a long non-coding RNA of Brassica napus (rape), 1519 nucleotides long. RefSeq lists it as uncharacterized. The transcript is spliced from 2 exons. Lineage: Eukaryota; Viridiplantae; Streptophyta; Magnoliopsida; Brassicales; Brassicaceae. The record is from RefSeq and is a predicted model, not a curated record.